Small nuclear RNA from Cercocebus atys (sooty mangabey), 164 nucleotides. Its record names the gene U1. It matches the Rfam family "U1 spliceosomal RNA". Rfam says of the family: U1 is a small nuclear RNA (snRNA) component of the spliceosome (involved in pre-mRNA splicing). The record is from Ensembl. NCBI's taxonomy places the organism in Eukaryota, Metazoa, Chordata, Mammalia, Primates, Cercopithecidae.
AUACUUACCUGGCAGGCGAGAUACCGUGAUCAUGAAGGUGAUUUUCCCAGGGCGAGGCUUAUCCAUUGCACUCCAGAUGUGCUGACCCCUGCGAUUUCCCCAAAUGUGGGAAACUCGACUGCAUAAUUUGUGGUAGUGGAGGACUGCGUUCAUGCUUUCCUCUG